ACGCGUGAGCAACCUGCCUUUCAGAGGGGGAUAACGUUCGGAAACGAACGCUAAUACCGCAUAACAUAUGGAAGUCGCAUGGCUAUCAUAUCAAAGGAGCAAUCCGCUGAAAGAUGGGCUCGCGUCUGAUUAGAUAGUUGGUGGGGUAACGGCCUACCAAGUCGACGAUCAGUAGCCGGACUGAGAGGUUGAUCGGCCACAUUGGGACUGAGACACGGCCCAGACUCCUGCGGGAGGCAGCAGUGGGGGAUAUUGCACAAUGGGCGCAAGCCUGAUGCAAGCAACGCCGCGUGAGUGAUGAAGGUCUUCGGAUUGUAAAACUCUGUCCUUGGUGACGAAACAAAUGACGGUAGCCGAGGAGGAAGCCACGGCUAACUACGUGCCAGCAGCGGC
This 393-nucleotide ribosomal RNA is filed under the name uncultured bacterium. Its description in RNAcentral is "bacterial SSU rRNA". It matches the Rfam family "Bacterial small subunit ribosomal RNA", at positions 113 to 518 of the family's 1533-position model. The record is from RNAcentral.